Unclassified non-coding RNA from Erinaceus europaeus (western European hedgehog), 306 nucleotides. Its record names the gene 7SK. It matches the Rfam family "7SK RNA". Rfam says of the family: 7SK was discovered as an abundant small nuclear RNA in the mid-70s but a possible function has only recently been suggested. Two independent studies have found that 7SK RNA binds the CDK9/cyclin T complex (known as elongation factor P-TEFb). P-TEFb activates transcription by phosphorylating the C-terminal domain of RNA polymerase II. The record is from Ensembl. NCBI's taxonomy places the organism in Eukaryota, Metazoa, Chordata, Mammalia, Eulipotyphla, Erinaceidae.
GGUUGUUAAGGCAAUUUGGCUGCAAUGCUUAUCACUCCAUUUUUCAUCAAGGUUGAUUAGACUGGCCUUACUGGGUAAGUGGGUUUCCUUUUCCUUCUUCUCAGCUCCGGAUGCCUCCCCAAGAUGCAUGCUCUGUCAAAAAAGAUGCUCUUCCCCAAAUAGAGGUGGACUGACCUUUGGUGGAAGAUAUGCAAAUAGCUGUGCUCUUCUAUUAGAAACUUCAAACAAGUUUUCCAGGUCCAUUCCUCGACAAACUGUAAGUUAAAUAUAGAGUUAGAACACUUCUUGAAAUGCCGGGUGUACUUA